CGCUGGCGGCGUGCCUAACACAUGCAAGUCAACUUGACUGAAGGAGCAAUCUGACAGUAGAGUGGCGCAAGGGUGCGUAACGCGUAAGUAACUUGCCCCAAGGUAAGGAAUAACGUCGAGAAAUCGGCGCUAAUACCUCAUAAUGCAGCGGAUCCGCAUGGAUAUGUUGUUAAAGGUUUACCGCCUUGGGAUAGGCUUGCGUCUGAUUAGUUAGUUGGUGUGGUAACGGCACACCAAGGCUACGAUCAGUAACUGGUCUGAGAGGAUGAUCAGUCACACUGGAACUGAGACACGGUCCAGACUCCUACGGGAGGCAGCAGUGAGGAAUAUUGGGGAAUGCUCGAAAGAGUGACCCAGCAACGCCGCGUGGAGGAUGAAGGUAUUCUAUAUCGUAAACUCCUGUGAGAGCAGACGAAAGACAGAUUAUUAAUCUGGAUGACUGUAUGCUCAGAGGAAGCCCCGGCUAACUACGUG
This 474-nucleotide ribosomal RNA is filed under the name uncultured bacterium. RNAcentral's name for it is "bacterial SSU rRNA". It matches the Rfam family "Bacterial small subunit ribosomal RNA", at positions 34 to 507 of the family's 1533-position model. The record is from RNAcentral.